Molecule: ribosomal RNA, 640 nt
Filed under: Exiguobacterium sp.
Lineage: Bacteria; Bacillati; Bacillota; Bacilli; Caryophanales
Description: bacterial SSU rRNA
Rfam family: Bacterial small subunit ribosomal RNA
Source: RNAcentral
GGAAGUCGACGGAACCCUUCGGGGGGAAGUCGACGGAAUGAGCGGCGGACGGGUGAGUAACACGUAAAGAACCUGCCCUCAGGUCUGGGAUAACCACGAGAAAUCGGGGCUAAUACCGGAUGGGUCAUCGGACCGCAUGGUCCGAGGAUGAAAGGCGCUCCGGCGUCGCCUGGGGAUGGCUUUGCGGUGCAUUAGCUAGUUGGUGGGGUAAUGGCCCACCAAGGCGACGAUGCAUAGCCGACCUGAGAGGGUGAUCGGCCACACUGGGACUGAGACACGGCCCAGACUCCUACGGGAGGCAGCAGUAGGGAAUCUUCCACAAUGGACGAAAGUCUGAUGGAGCAACGCCGCGUGAACGAUGAAGGCCUUCGGGUCGUAAAGUUCUGUUGUAAGGGAAGAACAAGUGCCGCAGGCAAUGGCGGCACCUUGACGGUACCUUGCGAGAAAGCCACGGCUAACUACGUGCCAGCAGCCGCGGUAAUACGUAGGUGGCAAGCGUUGUCCGGAAUUAUUGGGCGUAAAGCGCGCGCAGGCGGCCUCUUAAGUCUGAUGUGAAAGCCCCCGGCUCAACCGGGGAGGGCCAUUGGAAACUGGGAGGCUUGAGUAUAGGAGAGAAGAGUGGAAUUCCACGUGUAGCGGU